This 850-nucleotide ribosomal RNA is filed under the name uncultured Actinomycetes bacterium. RNAcentral describes it as "bacterial SSU rRNA". It matches the Rfam family "Bacterial small subunit ribosomal RNA", at positions 38 to 904 of the family's 1533-position model. The record is from RNAcentral. Lineage: Bacteria; Bacillati; Actinomycetota; Actinomycetes.
GGCGGCGUGCUUAACACAUGCAAGUCGAACGAGGUCCAACCUUCGGGUGAAGACCGAGUGGCGAACGGGUGAGUAACACGUGGGGAACCUGCCCUUCUCUCUGGGAUAACUCCGGGAAACCGGAGCUAAUACCGGAUACUCCUUGCGGACCGCAUGGUCUGCUCGGGAAAGCUCCGGCGGAGAAGGAUGGCCCCGCGGCCCAUUAGCUUGUUGGUGGGGUAACGGCCCACCAAGGCGACGAUGGGUAGCCGAGCUGAGAGGCUGAUCGGCCACACUGGGACUGAGACACGGCCCAGACUCCUACGGGAGGCAGCAGUGGGGAAUCUUGCGCAAUGGGCGAAAGCCUGACGCAGCAACGCCGCGUGCGGGAUGAAGGCUCUCGGGUCGUAAACCGCUUUCAGCAGGGAUGAAAAUGACAGUACCUGCAGAAGAAGCCCCGGCUAAAUACGUGCCAGCAGCCGCGGUAAUACGUAUGGGGCAAGCGUUAUCCGGAUUCAUUGGGCGUAAAGCGCGCGUAGGCGGCUUGUUAAGUCAGGCGUGAAAUCCGGGGGCUCAACCCGCGGCUUGCGUCUGAAACUGGCAGGCUUGAGUCUGGUAGAGGAAAGUGGAAUUCCUGGUGUAGCGGUGAAAUGCGCAGAUAUCAGGAGGAACACCAGUGGCGAAGGCGGCUUUCUGGGCCACGACUGACGCUGAGGCGCGAAAGCUAGGGGAGCGAACAGGAUUAGAUACCCUGGUAGUCCUAGCCGUAAACGAUGGGCACUAGGUGUGGGGGGUCAUCGACUCCCUCCGUGCCGAAGCUAACGCAUUAAGUGCCCCGCCUGGGGAGUACGGCCGCAAGGCUAAAACUCNA